ACCACUAUAGCUCAGUGGUUAGAGCAUCUACUUUGCACACAGAAAGUCCCAGUUUCAAUCUUUGGCCUCUCCUGGUAGGGCUGGGGUA
Molecule: non-coding RNA, 88 nt
Organism: Podarcis lilfordi (Lilford's wall lizard)
Lineage: Eukaryota; Metazoa; Chordata; Lepidosauria; Squamata; Lacertidae
Source: the annotation of a GenBank genome assembly